GACGAACGCUGGCGGCGUGCUUAACACAUGCAAGUCGAACGAAAAGGCCCUGCUUUUGUUGGGUGCUCGAGUGGCGAACGGGUGAGUAACACGUGAGUAACCUGCCCUUGACUUUGGGAUAUCUUCAGGAAACUGGGGCUAUUACCGGAUAGGAGCUCCUGCUGCAUGGUGGGGUUUGGAAAGUUUCGGCGGUUGUGGAUGGACUCGCGGCUUAUCAGCUUGUUGGUGUGGUAGUGGCUUACCAAGGCUUUGACGGGUAGCCGGCCUGAGAGGGUGACCGGCCACAUUGGGACUGAGAGACGGCGCAGACUCCUACGGGAGGCAGCAGUGGGGAAUAUUGCACAAUGGGCGGAAGCCUGAUGCAGCAACGCCGCGUGCGGGAUGACGGCCUUCGGGUUGUAAACCGCUUUCGCCGGUGACGAAGCGUGAGUGACGGUAAUGGGUAAAGAAGCACCGGCUAACUACGUG
RNAcentral lists this ribosomal RNA (468 nucleotides) under uncultured bacterium. Its description in RNAcentral is "partial 16S ribosomal RNA". It matches the Rfam family "Bacterial small subunit ribosomal RNA", at positions 28 to 507 of the family's 1533-position model. The record is from RNAcentral.